Molecule: ribosomal RNA, 467 nt
Filed under: uncultured bacterium
Lineage: Bacteria
Description: partial 16S ribosomal RNA
Source: RNAcentral
GACUACUGGGGUAUCUAAUCCUGUUUGAUACCCACACCUUCGCAGUUUAGCGUCAAUAACGGCUUAGAAGACUGCCUUCGCCUUCGGUAUUCCUCCUGAUCUCUGCGCAUUCCACCGCUACACCAGGAAUUCUGUCUUCCCCAACCGCAUUCCAGAUAAACAGUAUCUCCUGCCUUACGACGGGUGAGCCGUCGCCUUUGACAAAAAACUUAUCUAUCCGCCUACCUGCCCUUUACGCCUAGUAAUUCCGGACAACGCUUGCAACCCCCGUGUUACCGCGGCUGCUGGCACGGAGUUAGCCGUUGCUUAUUCAUAUGCUAAUAUCGCUCCUCUCAUGCUAUUCACAUAAAAGGCAUUGCUCACAUAUAAAAGAACUUUACACCCCGAAGGGCUUCUUCGUUCACGCGGCGUCGCACUAUCAGCCUUUCGGCCAUUGUAGACUAUUCUCGACUGCAGCCCCCCGUAGG